ACGACCAUACCUACUGGAAAACUCGGGAUCCCGUCCGCUCUCCCAUAGAUAAGCCAGUGAGGGCCAGAUUAGUAGUUGGGUCGGUGACGACCAGCGAAUCCCUGGUGUUGUAUGUU
RNAcentral lists this ribosomal RNA (116 nucleotides) under Xylariales sp. No.14919. Lineage: Eukaryota; Fungi; Ascomycota; Sordariomycetes; Xylariales. The record is from RNAcentral.